RNAcentral lists this ribosomal RNA (490 nucleotides) under uncultured bacterium. Its description in RNAcentral is "partial 16S ribosomal RNA". It matches the Rfam family "Bacterial small subunit ribosomal RNA", at positions 30 to 507 of the family's 1533-position model. The record is from RNAcentral.
AUUGAACGCUGGCGGCAGGCCUAACACAUGCAAGUCGAACGGUAACACGAAGCGGCUUGCUGCUUCGCUGACGAGUGGCGGACGGGUGAGUAAUGUCUGUGAAACUGCCUGAUGGAGGGGGAGAACUACUGGAAACGGUAGCUAAUACCGCAUAACGUCGCAAGACCAAAGAGGGGGACCUUAGGGCCUCUUGCCAUCGGGUGUGCCCAGAUGGGAUUAGCUAGUUGGUGGGGUAACGGCUCACCUAGGCGACGAUCCCUAGCUGGUCUGAGAGGAUGACCAGCCACACUGGAACUGAGACACGGUCCAGACUCCUACGGGAGGCAGCAGUGGGGAAUAUUGCACAAUGGGCGCAAGCCUGAUGCAGCCAUGCCGCGUGUAUGAAGAAGGCCUUCGGGUUGUAAAGUACUUUUAGCGGGGAAGAAGGGAGUAAAGUUAAUACCUUUGCUCAUUGACGUUACCCGAAGAAGAAGCACCGGCUAACUCCGUG